UACGUAGGGACCAAGCGUUGUUCGGAUUUACUGGGCGUAAAGGGCGCGUAGGCGGCAAUUCAAGUCACUUGUGAAAUCUCCGAGCUUAACUCGGAACGGUCAAGUGAUACUGCUUUGCUAGAGUGCAGAAGGGGCAACCGGAAUUCUUGGUGUAGCGGUGAAAUGCGUAGAUAUCUGGAGGAACACCGGUGGCGAAGGCGGCGUCCUGGACCAACACUGACACUGAGGAGCGAAAGCCAGGGGAGCAAACGGG
RNAcentral lists this ribosomal RNA (253 nucleotides) under uncultured bacterium. RNAcentral's name for it is "partial 16S ribosomal RNA". It matches the Rfam family "Bacterial small subunit ribosomal RNA", at positions 524 to 776 of the family's 1533-position model. The record is from RNAcentral.